UACAGAGGUCUCGAGCGUUAGGCGGAAUCACUGGGCUUAAAGCGUGUGUAGGCGGAUCGUUAAGUGCCUUGUGAAAUCCCACGGCUCAACCGUGGAACUGCUUGGCAUACUGGCGGUCUUGAGCAACCUAGGGGCGAGCGGAACAAGUGGUGGAGCGGUGAAAUGCGUAGAUAUCAUUUGGAACGCCAAUGGUGAAAACAGCUCGCUGGGGGUUUGCUGACGCUGAGACACGAAAGCCAGGGGAGCAAACGGG
RNAcentral lists this ribosomal RNA (253 nucleotides) under uncultured bacterium. RNAcentral's name for it is "partial 16S ribosomal RNA". It matches the Rfam family "Bacterial small subunit ribosomal RNA", at positions 524 to 776 of the family's 1533-position model. The record is from RNAcentral.